GGUUUCUCUGUGUAGCCCUGGCUGUCCUGGAACUCACUUUGUAGACCAGGCUGGAUUUGAACUCACAAGAGAUCCACCUGCCUCUGCCUCCCGAGUGCUGGGACUAAAGGCAUGUGCCACCAACGCCUG
RNAcentral lists this microRNA precursor (129 nucleotides) under Cricetulus griseus (Chinese hamster). RNAcentral's name for it is "miRNA (ENSCGRG00001002830.1)". Lineage: Eukaryota; Metazoa; Chordata; Mammalia; Rodentia; Cricetidae. The record is from RNAcentral.